AAAUAAAUAAUAUAACAUUAGCAUUACACAACUUUUUCUUUUCCUAUUGCUAUAUCCCCUCUAAGACAGCUCACAGGCAGACCCUUUCCACCCCUUCUGGCAACCUUUGAAACUGGGCAUGCCCAGUGCCCCUUGCAAUAAUGUGACUUAACAAAUGGGACACUGGCCAAAUAUUUAUGAGUAUGCUGAACUUGCGUUCAAGUUAGAAAACAUCAAUACAAUUACAGGUAGACGUUGCACAGCAGGCACUAUUCCUUCUGGAAAAAUGAAAGAAUGAGAUCUGUGUGUACAGAGAAGAGCUGUGUGUCUACGAAGAGCUUCAUGAAUGGCCGAUCACGAUUAGGGAAGGAAUCUAUGAAACUCUCCUUUAAGAGCAAUGACACCUUAUCAUUAUUGGACUGUACAUUUGUAAUUGUGUGAGAGCGUAAGUUAGAACAGAGUGAAUCCAAGUAAGACCUUAACACUGCUAAAAAACCCUUAGCAGAUUCAACCUGUACAUCUGUACAUUCAUAAACUGGCCUUUUCCUUGCCAAAUA
RNAcentral lists this unclassified non-coding RNA (536 nucleotides) under Hevea brasiliensis (rubber tree). The record is from RNAcentral. Lineage: Eukaryota; Viridiplantae; Streptophyta; Magnoliopsida; Malpighiales; Euphorbiaceae.